CAGGGGCUAUCAGACACCUGAGCCGGAGCCCCUCUCCCACUACCGCUCGCAGCGUUUCCCGAGCCCGUGUGUGGCAGCAGGGAAGAGGUGGACACUGAAGGAAGAUGGAAAUACUGGGAGGGAGCUAUGAGCCUCUGGUGAAACAAAGGUCCAGGAUGAGGAGGACAGAAGGUCCCAGCUGCUGCGUGAUUCCUGGCUCUGACUCUCCACAAACCUAGUAGACUGGAGCAACCCCCCUCACCUUCACUUAUCUAUGGAUGCCACCACUAUGUCAUGGCAGGAGAAAGGUAGCCAAUACACAUCUGUAGGAUUGGCACUGAACACAC
Long non-coding RNA from Caretta caretta (loggerhead turtle), 326 nucleotides. RefSeq lists it as uncharacterized. The record is from RefSeq and is a predicted model, not a curated record. Lineage: Eukaryota; Metazoa; Chordata; Testudines; Cheloniidae.